Molecule: ribosomal RNA, 253 nt
Filed under: uncultured bacterium
Lineage: Bacteria
Description: partial 16S ribosomal RNA
Rfam family: Bacterial small subunit ribosomal RNA
Source: RNAcentral
GACGGGGGGUCCAAGCGUUGUUCGGAAUCAUUGGGCGUAAAGCGUGUGCAGGUGGUCUUGCAAGUUAGGUGUGAAAUCCCCGGGCUCAACUCGGGAAGUGCACUUAAAACUACAAGACUUGAGUAAGGAAGAGGGUCGUGGAAUUCCAGGUGUAGUGGUGAAAUACGUAGAUAUCUGGAGGAACACCGGUGGCGAAGGCGGCGACCUGGUCCUAUACUGACACUCAUACACGAAAGCGUGGGGAGCAAACAGG